CAAUAGCGUAUAUUUAAGUUGUUGCAGUUAAAAAGCUCGUAGUUGGAUUUCGGGUAGGAUUUGCCGGUCCGUCUUUGAGAUGUGUACUGGUAAGUCCUAUCUUCUUGUCGGGGACCAGCUCCUGGGCUUCACUGUCCGGGACUGGGAGCCGACGAAGUUACUUUGAGUAAAUUAGAGUGUUCAAAGCAAGCCUACGCUCUGAAUAUAUUAGCAUGGAAUAACACGAUAGGACUCUGGCUUAUCUUGUUGGUCUGUGAGACCAGAGUAAUGAUUAAGAGGGACAGUCGGGGACAUUCGUAUUUCAUUGUCAGAGGUGAAAUUCUUAGAUUUAUGAAAGACGAACUUCUGCGAAAGCAUUUGUCAAGGAUGUUUUCAUUAA
RNAcentral lists this ribosomal RNA (379 nucleotides) under uncultured eukaryote. RNAcentral's name for it is "partial 18S ribosomal RNA". It matches the Rfam family "Eukaryotic small subunit ribosomal RNA", at positions 592 to 976 of the family's 1831-position model. The record is from RNAcentral.